This 490-nucleotide ribosomal RNA is filed under the name uncultured bacterium. Its description in RNAcentral is "partial 16S ribosomal RNA". It matches the Rfam family "Bacterial small subunit ribosomal RNA", at positions 29 to 507 of the family's 1533-position model. The record is from RNAcentral.
AGUGAACGCUGGCGGCAGGCCUAACACAUGCAAGUCGAACGGCAGCACAAGAGAGCUUGCUCUCUGGGUGGCGAGUGGCGGACGGGUGAGGAAUGCAUCGGAAUCUGCCCAUUUGUGGGGGAUAACCUCGGGAAACCGGGACUAAUACCGCAUACGACCCACGGGUGAAAGCAGGGGAUCUUCGGACCUUGCGCAGAUGGAUGAGCCGAUGCCGGAUUAGCUAGUUGGAGGGGUAAAGGCCCACCAAGGCGACGAUCCGUAGCUGGUCUGAGAGGAUGAUCAGCCACACUGGGACUGAGACACGGCCCAGACUCCUACGGGAGGCAGCAGUGGGGAAUAUUGGACAAUGGGCGCAAGCCUGAUCCAGCCAUGCCGCGUGUGUGAAGAAGGCCUUCGGGUUGUAAAGCACUUUUGUUGGGAAAGAAAAGCAGCCGGUUAAUACCCGGUUGUCAUGACGGUACCCAAAGAAUAAGCACCGGCUAACUUCGUG